RNAcentral lists this ribosomal RNA (324 nucleotides) under uncultured eukaryote. Its description in RNAcentral is "partial 18S ribosomal RNA". It matches the Rfam family "Eukaryotic small subunit ribosomal RNA", at positions 1470 to 1796 of the family's 1831-position model. The record is from RNAcentral.
CCCUUAGAUGUUCUGGGCCGCACGCGCGCUACACUGAUGCAUUCAACGAGCACCCGCUGGGCCGAGAGGUCCGGCUAAUCUUUGAACGUGCAUCGUGCUGGGGAUAGAUGAUUGCAAUUAUUCAUCUUCAACGAGGAAUUCCUAGUAAACGCAAGUCAUCAGCUUGCAUUGAUUACGUCCCUGCCCUUUGUACACACCGCCCGUCGCACCUACCGAUUGAAUGGUCCGGUGAAAUUCUCGGACGCGGACUUGCGAUGUUAAUUCGGAGCUUGAUUGUGAAAGUUAAUUAAACCUUACCAUUUAGAGGAAGGUGAAGUCGUAACA